RNAcentral lists this ribosomal RNA (167 nucleotides) under Ficus uncinulata. Its description in RNAcentral is "5.8S ribosomal RNA". It matches the Rfam family "5.8S ribosomal RNA". From Rfam's summary of the family: 5.8S ribosomal RNA (5.8S rRNA) is a component of the large subunit of the eukaryotic ribosome. It is transcribed by RNA polymerase I as part of the 45S precursor that also contains 18S and 28S rRNA. The record is from RNAcentral. Lineage: Eukaryota; Viridiplantae; Streptophyta; Magnoliopsida; Rosales; Moraceae.
AAGAACGACUCUCGGCAACGGAUAUCUCGGCUCUCGCAUCGAUGAAGAACGUAGCGAAAUGUGAUACUUGGUGUGAAUUGCAGAAUCCCGUGAACCAUCGAGUCUUUGAACGCAAGUUGCGCCCGAAGCCAUCAGGUCGAGGGCACGUCUGCCUGGGCGUCACACGC